This 253-nucleotide ribosomal RNA is filed under the name uncultured bacterium. RNAcentral's name for it is "partial 16S ribosomal RNA". It matches the Rfam family "Bacterial small subunit ribosomal RNA", at positions 524 to 776 of the family's 1533-position model. The record is from RNAcentral.
GACAGGGGGUGCAAACGUUGCUCGGAAUCACUGGGCGUAAAGGGCGUGUAGGCGGGUAGGAAAGUCAGAUGUGAAAUCCCUGGGCUCAACCCAGGAACUGCAUUUGAAACUCCCUUUCUUGAGUGUCGGAGAGGAAAGUGGAAUUCCUGGUGUAGAGGUGAAAUUCGUAGAUAUUCGCAAGAACACCAGUGGCGAAGGCGGCUCACUGGCCCGAUACUGACGCUGAGGCACGAAAGCGUGGGGAGCAAACAGG